CACAAUAAGUUAAAUGAGACGAGGUAGGGAAAAUUGGGAUAUUGUACAUCGCAGCUCGAAAGAGCACA
RNAcentral lists this transfer RNA (68 nucleotides) under Diaphanoeca grandis. Lineage: Eukaryota; Choanoflagellata; Acanthoecida; Stephanoecidae. The record is from RNAcentral.